RNAcentral lists this ribosomal RNA (636 nucleotides) under uncultured bacterium. RNAcentral describes it as "bacterial SSU rRNA". It matches the Rfam family "Bacterial small subunit ribosomal RNA", at positions 202 to 842 of the family's 1533-position model. The record is from RNAcentral.
UAAAGAAUUUCGGUUAUCGAUGGGGAUGCGUUCCAUUAGUUAGUUGGCGGGGUAACGGCCCACCAAGACGACGAUGGAUAGGGGUUCUGAGAGGAAGGUCCCCCACAUUGGAACUGAAACACGGUCCAAACUCCUACGGGAGGCAGCAGUGAGGAAUAUUGGUCAAUGGACGAGAGUCUGAACCAGCCAAGUAGCGUGAAGGAUGACUGCCCUAUGGGUUGUAAACUUCUUUUAUAUGGGAAUAAAACAGGGUAUGCAUACCCUCUUGUAUGUACCAUAUGAAUAAGGAUCGGCUAACUCCGUGCCAGCAGCCGCGGUAAUACGGAGGAUCCGAGCGUUAUCCGGAUUUAUUGGGUUUAAAGGGAGCGUAGGUGGAUUGUUAAGUCAGUUGUGAAAGUUUGCGGCUCAACCGUAAAAUUGCAGUUGAAACUGGCAGUCUUGAGUACAGUAGAGGUGGGCGGAAUUCGUGGUGUAGCGGUGAAAUGCUUAGAUAUCACGAAGAACUCCGAUUGCGAAGGCAGCUCACUGGACUGCAACUGACACUGAUGCUCGAAAGUGUGGGUAUCAAACAGGAUUAGAUACCCUGGUAGUCCACACAGUAAACGAUGAAUACUCGCUGUUUGCGAUAUACGGUAA